AGUGAACGCUGGCGGUAGGCCUAACACAUGCAAGUCGAACGGCAGCACAGUAAGAGCUUGCUCUUACGGGUGGCGAGUGGCGGACGGGUGAGGAAUACAUCGGAAUCUACUUUUUCGUGGGGGAUAACGUAGGGAAACUUACGCUAAUACCGCAUACGACCUACGGGUGAAAGCAGGGGAUCUUCGGACCUUGCGCGAUUGAAUGAGCCGAUGUCGGAUUAGCUGGUUGGCGGGGUAAAGGCCCACCAAGGCGACGAUCCGUAGCUGGUCUGAGAGGAUGAUCAGCCACACUGGAACUGAGACACGGUUCAGACUCCUACGGGAGGCAGCAGUGGGGAAUAUUGGACAAUGGGCGCAAGCCUGAUCCAGCCAUACCGCGUGGGUGAAGAAGGCCUUCGGGUUGUAAAGCCCUUUUGUUGGGAAAGAAAAGCAGCAGGUUAAUACCCCGCUGUUCUGACGGUACCCAAAGAAUAAGCACCGGCUAACUUCGUG
Molecule: ribosomal RNA, 492 nt
Filed under: uncultured bacterium
Lineage: Bacteria
Description: partial 16S ribosomal RNA
Rfam family: Bacterial small subunit ribosomal RNA
Source: RNAcentral